AAGGCUCAAGAAAUGCUGAAGAACAAUGAGAUUACCAACCCGGUUGCUACCAUGAAUUUAGAUUUGGGUUGAGGCCACAGCUUGGAUUGGUUUCCUCUCAUAUUCAUCAUCAAAUUGCUUUCUGCAGUCUCCAAGUCAAAUAUUCCUAAGAGGAAGAAGAUAUACAGCCGUAAAAAAAGAACCAAGCAUUGGAUAUCGACGAGCCAAACGCCACCAUCCUCACCAUUAAAACAAUAUAAACUAUAGCUUCAGGAGACCGGAAAGGUGGUUUCUAUUUACCUUUUUGGGCUCUAAAGACUUAUUACAGUUAUUAGUUUUUGCUGAAGAAGAUGAGCAGAGUUGUUCUUAAACUCAUGUUUAUAGCGUUAAACUCACUUCAAGCACUGAAAUUCAUUCAUCCAUCGCCAUUCGCUUCACCUUUCUUGCGAAGUUCAUUGAAAUUACCACCCCACCUACUACAAUUUUCACAGAGCUCUUUAGGUUCCAAAACUUCGGACAUCUGACGUCAUUGGCAAAGACAAAUACUCAGUUUCCAGACAUCAGCCUCAUCAAGACAACCUUCAAUGACGAUGCCCAGACAACUCCCUUAUAGCCAUUUAUUUUCCUUCGAGGAAGGUUCACAAUCUUUUGCUACUGUGGCAUAAUCCAGGUGCUUCGAAAUUAUAUGAUUAUAUUUUCAAUGCGACUGCUUGAUUCUAUGAUUUCUUUCAUUUUGGAAUAACAAACCUUCUUAGUCAGUGUUAGAUUUGAAAGCCCGAUCACUUUUUUUUGUUUGGUUUUGUGUUCAUAAGUUGAAAACCGUAAGAACUACGCUUCAAAUGAUUCAAAACCAGAAACAAGUGACAAAGAUGAAUUAAGUAACAUCAACGGGUCAGAGCGAGAACGAUAAGAACAAUCAGCGGACGACAGAAAGUAAAACCAGGAAGAAACCAAGACUCUAGAUUCAGCAAAGCUUGAAAAGAGAUUACAGAUCAACACUCAAGUCCUGAUUUUGGUUUACAAGGUCAUCAACAGCACGCUAAUCCCAUGACAUCUGUAAGGAAGAUACAAGGAGACCAGAAAGCCUCAAGAGGAACAAUCACUCACUAGAUGAAUCAAGAGCACAAAGUUGUAGAGAUAUUCUUAAGUAACGACAUGAUUAUCGUCCAUCAAUGUCUGC
Molecule: long non-coding RNA, 1159 nt
Organism: Brassica oleracea var. oleracea
Lineage: Eukaryota; Viridiplantae; Streptophyta; Magnoliopsida; Brassicales; Brassicaceae
Exons: 5
Source: RefSeq, a predicted model, not a curated record